RNAcentral lists this ribosomal RNA (429 nucleotides) under uncultured bacterium. RNAcentral describes it as "bacterial SSU rRNA". It matches the Rfam family "Bacterial small subunit ribosomal RNA", at positions 355 to 776 of the family's 1533-position model. The record is from RNAcentral.
UGGGGAAUCUUGGACAAUGGGGGCAACCCUGAUCCAGCCAUGCCGCGUGUGUGAAGAAGGCCUUAGGGUUGUAAAGCACUUUCAGUAGGGAGGAAGGCUUCGGAUUAAUACUCUGGAGUACUUGACGUUACCUACAGAAGAAGCACCGGCUAAUUUCGUGCCAGCAGCCGCGGUAAUACGAAAGGUGCGAGCGUUAAUCGGAAUUACUGGGCGUAAAGCGCGCGUAGGCGGCUAUUUAAGUCUGAUGUGAAAGCCCAGGGCUCAACCUUGGAAUUGCAUCGGAUACUGGGUAGCUAGAGUGCAGUAGAGGAAGGUGGAAUUCCAGGUGUAGCGGUGAAAUGCGUAGAGAUCUGGAGGAACACCAGUGGCGAAGGCGGCCUUCUGGACUGACACUGACGCUGAGGUGCGAAAGCGUGGGGAUCAAACAGG